UUCUUAGCUAAGCCGAAGAGAAGGGGUGGCGGGUGGUUGUGAUCAUGUGGUCUGGCGAAGUAGCGGCGGCGACCAGCAGAGGGCGAGGGACGGCGGCAGCCGGCCGUGGUCUGAUUCUAGCCCUAUGCCAUGUCAUCAAAUUCAGUUGGAACCCAGAGUGCGGAAGUGACAAUGUCAGGAGUUGCAGGUAAUGCUCCUGAAGCUCCUCAAGGUAAAUUUGAUCGGUGCCUUGAGGUGAUGCCGAAGUUGCCGAAAAGCUUCUGGAUUAUGAUAAAAGUUUAGAUGCCUGAAGCGACAGCUUGUACAGUUGUACCUAUGGGUGAGGUGGAAAACAGAAUUGGGAGACUGGAAAAAUGGUAUAAAAAAAGGAGGCUGGUGAUAAACCAGACGCUGAAAGAAUGCGUUCUGGUAGCGAAUGUGCGAAUCGGAUUAAAGGUGCUUCUCACCCUACAGCAAAUCGAUGAGUGGUAAGUUACGUGCAAAUAUGUGGCGAUUGUGAAACUCUUGGAGGCAGCCAUUGGGUAGGAGAGCAGGCAGGGAGCAAAGCGUGAGGCGAUCCAGAACGCAGUGGUAUGGUUAAACAAGAGCAAGUGGGAUCUGGUUUUGCUUGCUAGCCGCUACCUAUGGUGAUCACAGCCAUGUGCGGAGCGUGAUGUGGGGCCCUUGCGUGAUGCCAUGUACCUUGCAUGCAACACUGAAUGCGCAUCAUCCGCGCGGACUCCGCCAUCACCGUCCAUGUGUGGGUUGUGUUUGCACCGAUGACGAGGUAAACCCAUUCUCUCAGUUGUAAGAUGAUACCGUCAUCUGCUUAUAAAUGAGGCUCACUCUAAUA
Molecule: non-coding RNA, 832 nt
Organism: Phoenix dactylifera (date palm)
Lineage: Eukaryota; Viridiplantae; Streptophyta; Magnoliopsida; Arecales; Arecaceae
Source: RefSeq, a predicted model, not a curated record